Molecule: long non-coding RNA, 1891 nt
Organism: Eriocheir sinensis (Chinese mitten crab)
Lineage: Eukaryota; Metazoa; Arthropoda; Malacostraca; Decapoda; Varunidae
Exons: 3
Source: RefSeq, a predicted model, not a curated record
AAAAACUGGCAUAUUGCACUCCCUCCCUCCCUCCCGCGGCCCCGCCAUAAUAUUCCAAAAGUCCAAACUUCACGUUCCCAAGCUUGCUGAUGCGAGGACGGUGUCACGUGCUCAGCACUGCUCGCACUCAAGAAAAAUCUCCCUCUAAAUAAGAAGACAAGGAAGUACACUGUAGAUGACGUGCUGAGAUUUCUGAGAGAUGGUGCAGUUCCUCCAAGUCUCAGCAAGAAUGAAAGAAGUUCCUUCUUCAUCUAUUCAAGAAAAUUUCAGCUUCAUGUAGAAGGUGGCAGCAGAGUUGUUUCUUCAAGUCAAGUUCAACCAGUACACCACCUCACUCACCACUUCAGGAGGCUCAUUUACCUAAGAGCAGUGAUUUGUAAAUUUAGCAGUUAAUGUUGGAGGUAGAUAACCAACAUAUUUACUGCAAUCCACUGGAAAAGGAUAGGCACUGGUGUGGUUUCAUUAAAAUUUUCAGUAGAGCUAGAGGUUGGCCGAGGCAGCAGCCGAUGCCCAUAAGUGUUGUACUUUAUGAACAUUCACAGUACUAUUGUGAAUUCAUAAACCAAGUGACUUCAAAAAAUUUUAUGACCUAUUUGUGCACCAGUGUGAGUGCUUUGUAACUGUGGCCAAGUUAUGGUUGCUGAUGACCACUCAUAAAGCUCUGAAUGAGUAGAACUUAACAUUAUGUUAUGAAAACAUGGAUUCACGCACUGUCACCGACCAUGGAGGCAUGCCCACCACUUCUGAUCCUUUUCUCAGUGUACCGUUUUCCAUAGUAAUUUACAUGAAUUAACUUAAUCUAUGUUCUAUAUGUACGGUAAAACCUCCCUAGAUUAGCAUAAUUGGGGCCGAGAUUUUGCCGUCUGGUAACAUCAUGUGUCUAGUCAGUACAGUAGGAUGUAAUAUAUUCAGUGCCCUAUCCAUUCCUAUGCUGAUAACUCUACCCUGCAUUUUUCUGCAUCAUUCACCAGAUGUCCCACUCAGCACUGUUUCAGUAACUCACAAAGAGAUGCCUCAAUGCUUGACCUGUAAUCUUUCCUUAAUUUUUUAAUGGAAAGAGUAAACCACGUUUUGUUCAGUGCCUCAAAAACACAUUUCUUGCAUCUAUCUAAUCAACACACCACUGACAUCACUACAUCUUUAAAUACAUCCUUUCUCUCUCUCCUCAAUAAAUCCCCUCUCUCUCCUCAAUAAAUCUCUCUCUCUCUCUCUCUCUCUCUCUCUCUCUCUCUCUCUCUCUCUCUCUCUCUCUCUCUCUCUCUCUCUCAUAGCUGGGCACGAUAACAGAAAACCUUAUUCCUGAUAACCGAUAACUGAUAAUGGAAAACCUUAUCGAUGAUAACCGAUAUUUGUUAACUGGAGACACAAAUAUAGGUGAUAACUGAUAACCGAUACCGAUAUAAAUCCACAAUUCCGAUACUAGCUAACGAUAAGUCCAAUAGGUGAAAACGAUAAUAUAUUGAUUUUUCAAAUAAAAAAAACAUAGAUUAAUUCAAAUUUUCAUUAUUUGUAUUUUAGAAAACUUACAAAACCUGAAAACCACACGUUGACAUGUAGCCUACAUAUGGACGGUAAUACUAGAAACGCCUGAACCGGUGUUAUUUGGCGUCCCCACCGUCAAAAGCUGGCGCUUUUGUUUACAAACACUGGUCUCUCGUGAACUGCCCAUGCUCAGACCAGCAAGCGUAGACCUGUACAGUCUCACAUAGCUUUUUAACCGUAAUUAAGAGUUGCUGGAAGGCUGACUCAGACAUAUAGUACCACUACCACCAUCCCCGCUGUUUCUAGAACGACACUCUGUACGAGUUGUAUUUAUAUGUACAGAGCGUCGUUCUAGAAACAGCGAUACUGUAUGUCUGAUUCAGCCUUCCAGCAACUCUUAAUUAAUGUG